CGAGAUGGGGGAAUUGCCGCCGGUGGAUCUUCGGGUUCACGGGAGGAAAGUCCGGACACCAUAUGGCAGCGUAGCGGAUAACGUCCGUCCACCGUGAGGUGAGGACCAGUGCAACAGAGAGAAUGUACGGGCUAUGAUCCUGGAUACGGGAACGGGAGUUCCAGGGGAGUCGCAGUAGUGAAAGCAGGUAAACUCUACGCGGUGCAAGUCCAAAUAGGCCUGUGCUAACUUCGGUUUGAAGGGCGGCCAGUCCAAGCAGGCGGGUAGGACGCUUGAGCCCAAGGGUAAUCUUGGGCCUAGACGAAUGGCAAUUUAACGACAGGAUCCGGCUUACACCCUGUCUCGGCUU
Molecule: RNase P RNA, 349 nt
Filed under: Deltaproteobacteria bacterium
Lineage: Bacteria; Pseudomonadati; Myxococcota; Myxococcia
Description: RNase P RNA component class A
Rfam family: Bacterial RNase P class A
About the family: Ribonuclease P (RNase P) is a ubiquitous endoribonuclease, found in archaea, bacteria and eukarya as well as chloroplasts and mitochondria. Its best characterised activity is the generation of mature 5'-ends of tRNAs by cleaving the 5'-leader elements of precursor-tRNAs.
Source: RNAcentral